Molecule: ribosomal RNA, 253 nt
Filed under: uncultured bacterium
Lineage: Bacteria
Description: partial 16S ribosomal RNA
Rfam family: Bacterial small subunit ribosomal RNA
Source: RNAcentral
UACAGAGGUCCCGAGCGUUGUUCGGAUUCAUUGGGCGUAAAGGGUGUGUAGGUGGCGCGCUAAGUCGGGUGUGAAAUUUCGGAGCUUAACUCCGAAACUGCAUUCGAUACUGGCGUGCUUGAGGACUGGAGAGGAGACUGGAAUUUACGGUGUAGCGGUGAAAUGCGUAGAUAUCGUAAGGAAGACCAGUGGCGAAGGCGGGUCUCUGGACAGUUCCUGACGCUGAGGCACGAAGGUCAGGGGAGCAAACGGG